AAUCAACGCUGGCGGCGUGCCUCAGACAUGCAAGUCGAACGAUUAAAGCUCCCUUCGGGGAGUGCAUAAAGUGGCGCACGGGUGAGUAACACGUAAGUAAUCUACCCUCGGGUGGGGAAUAACAUCGGGAAACCGAUGCUAAUACCGCAUAAUGCAGCGGCACCGCAAGGUGACAGUUGUUAAAGAUUUAUUGCCUGGGGAGGAGCUUGCGGCAGAUUAGCUUGUUGGUAAGGAACGGCUUACCAAGGCUACGAUCUGUAUCCGGUCUAAGAGGACGGUCGGACACACUGACACUGAAUAACGGGUCAGACUCCUACGGGAGGCAGCAGUCGGG
RNAcentral lists this ribosomal RNA (334 nucleotides) under uncultured bacterium. RNAcentral describes it as "bacterial SSU rRNA". It matches the Rfam family "Bacterial small subunit ribosomal RNA", at positions 32 to 359 of the family's 1533-position model. The record is from RNAcentral.